RNAcentral lists this small nuclear RNA (107 nucleotides) under Salvator merianae (Argentine black and white tegu). The record is from RNAcentral. Lineage: Eukaryota; Metazoa; Chordata; Lepidosauria; Squamata; Teiidae.
GUGCUCACUUCAGCAGCACAUAUACUAAAAUCGGAAUAAUACAGAGAAGAUUAGCACGGCCCCUGCACAAGCAUAACAUGCAAAUUUGUGAAGCGUUCCGUAUUUUU